AACGCAAAUGGCGCCCUUUGGUAUUCCGAAGGGCAUGCCUGUUUGAGUGUCAUGAAAAUUUCAAGCCUUCUAGUUUCGUCAUUGAGAUUAGGACGGAUCUUGGUCUUGAGUGUAUGUGUUUCAUUCCUCUGGGACGGAAUUCUCACUCGAAAAAGAUUGGCAGAUACUUUCGAGUGUCUCGGCGUAAUAGUAAUCUACAUCGUCUUGCGCAAGGAAUGUCUAUCGCUUAUGAACCCGUCUUCGGACAACUUAUCAUUUUCGACCUCAGAUCAGGUAGGAGUACCCGCUGAACUUAA
RNAcentral lists this unclassified non-coding RNA (296 nucleotides) under Lecanora sp. RNAcentral's name for it is "partial contains 5.8S ribosomal RNA, internal transcribed spacer 2, and large subunit ribosomal RNA". The stretch from base 1 to 52 matches the Rfam family "5.8S ribosomal RNA", at positions 103 to 154 of the family's 154-position model. The record is from RNAcentral. Lineage: Eukaryota; Fungi; Ascomycota; Lecanoromycetes; Lecanorales; Lecanoraceae.